Molecule: ribosomal RNA, 253 nt
Filed under: uncultured bacterium
Lineage: Bacteria
Description: partial 16S ribosomal RNA
Rfam family: Bacterial small subunit ribosomal RNA
Source: RNAcentral
UACGAAGGGGGCUAGCGUUGCUCGGAAUCACUGGGCGUAAAGCGCACGUAGGCGGCUUGUUAAGUCAGGGGUGAAAUCCUGGAGCUCAACUCCAGAACUGCCUUUGAUACUGGCGAGCUUGAGUCCGGGAGAGGUGAGUGGAACUGCGAGUGUAGAGGUGAAAUUCGUAGAUAUUCGCAAGAACACCAGUGGCGAAGGCGACUCACUGGACAUGUAUUGACGCUGAGGUGCGAAAGCGUGGGGAGCAAACAGG